Molecule: transfer RNA, 420 nt
Filed under: uncultured Flavobacteriaceae bacterium
Lineage: Bacteria; Pseudomonadati; Bacteroidota; Flavobacteriia; Flavobacteriales; Flavobacteriaceae
Description: 16S-23S ribosomal RNA intergenic spacer
Rfam family: tRNA (bases 76-149)
Source: RNAcentral
AGAGAAAGACGACUAAGGAUAAUUGCUUAAAAUUAAGCUUACUACGCUGUCAUUUUUUUAAAAUCAUAAAAGUAGAGUCUCGUAGCUCAGCUGGUUAGAGCGCUACACUGAUAAUGUAGAGGUCGGCAGUUCGAGUCUGCCCGAGACUACUUCUUUUAAUUAGGGAAAUUCUAGGGUUGAUAUAACCUUUAUGUCUACUCCUUUUUAGGAAUUGACUUUGGGGAAUUAGCUCAGCUGGCUAGAGCACUUGAUUUGCAUUCAAGAGGUCAUCGGUUCGACUCCGAUAUUCUCCACUUUUUGUUUUCGGACAAAAACGAUCUUUGACAUGAAGAGAACACAAAAGUAUAAUCAAAAUAUAAAAUUAAUUUUGGUUGUGCGAGCAAAAUAGUAAAUCAAAUAAAACUAAAGAGAAUAGUUAUU